Molecule: ribosomal RNA, 416 nt
Filed under: uncultured bacterium
Lineage: Bacteria
Description: bacterial SSU rRNA
Rfam family: Bacterial small subunit ribosomal RNA
Source: RNAcentral
UGGGGAAUAUUGGGCAAUGGGCGCAAGCCUGACCCAGCAACGCCGCGUGAAGGAAGAAGGCUUUCGGGUUGUAAACUUCUUUUAAGAGGGAAGAGAAGAAGACGGUACCUCUUGAAUAAGCCACGGCUAACUACGUGCCAGCAGCCGCGGUAAUACGUAGGUGGCAAGCGUUGUCCGGAUUUACUGGGUGUAAAGGGCGUGCAGCCGGGCUGACAAGUCAGAUGUGAAAUCCCGCGGCUUAACCGCGGAACUGCAUUUGAAACUGUCAGUCUUGAGUACCGGAGAGGUCAUCGGAAUUCCUUGUGUAGCGGUGAAAUGCGUAGAUAUAAGGAAGAACACCAGUGGCGAAGGCGGAUGACUGGGCGGCAACUGACGGUGAGGCGCGAAAGCGUGGGGAGCAAACAGGAUUAGAUACC